CCAGGUGCCCCUCAAGUAUCUUUUUGAAUGAGCAGAACUGGAUAGUUCAGAGGUUACUCUAACUUUGAGCAUGCAUUCUCCUGUGACCUUGGCAAGGAGUGCUUUCCCUGGGUGAUUUCCAAAAUAUUAACAGGGCACAAAUUAUAGUGGACUCAACCACGCAUCAGCAAGACUUCCAGCUUUGAACACCAGGGUGCUGCACACAGCACGUGAGGCUUCAGAUCAGCCCUGCUGCCUCGGUGGUGGCCUCACUUGGCCGGGUGUACAGAAAACCUUGACUCAGUGUUUGUUCUACGAUCUGACUCAUUGUAACAUGUUGAUUGUCCCAAACAGGAACUAGAGACACAGUGUCCCAUCUCCAUCCCAGAGGUCAGGUGGGGCCAGCUCCCGCCUGACGCAUCCCAUGGGCUGAGCUUUUAGCUGUAAACUGCUGUGGAUGGUCUGGCUUCUCUCAGAGAUUGUGGGAUAGAAGGGGCCACCACAUUUUUUUCAGAGGUUUCAAAGGUUACUCAGUCUAUUUUAUAGACUCCCCCAAAGAUGGUUAUGAUGACACACAAAUUGUUCCUUCACAGUUUGAGCAAUCAUGAAAUACGUCCCAUAAUUCCUCACCAUUUCUGAGCUCUGGGCCAGUUCCAAAUAAUAAAAGCCAUCUUUCUCAGUGACUGCCUUUCUCUGCUAGUUGUGAGGGACAAAGGACAGGGCACCACACUGACUGCGUGAAAACGUAAGCCACGUCUACCAUGCUAUUGAUACUUUUCCUCUUCAAAAGCAGCGAUGUCCCGUGAAAGGUGACUCUCCAAAGUGGUUCUACCAGCCAUGUGGUCAGCUUUGGGGCUGGUGUUUCAACUAAGGAGAGGAAACGUAGGUAAACUCGAUUGGAAUAAUAACCGGAAAAAUUGCACCAAAAGAGGUGAGGACAGAUCCAGAACCUUCCUGAUCGAUUCAGCUGGCAUCUGUGAGGACACCACUGGACCUCAGCUGAUGGAGUCCACUGCAGUCGUGACUCCAGAACCAUCUGCAGCUUCCACCUGAGAGCAUCCUUUCUGCCCUCAAAUCACUCCCUUUCCUUCUCACAUCUGAAAAUCUCACCAUAAUACAUAAUUCUUCCCUUUUCCUUAACUAACCUCAAAUGCUGCCAAUGAUUUUUCUGAGACGUCUCUUGAAUCUGUCAUGUUUGUCUAUCUCUGUGGCCACAGCUAGUCUUCUUAAUCCUGCCUUCUCUUUAUAAAACCCAUCUUCCCCUCUUGCUACCUCAGUGAUUGUAGUCUAAAACUUGGUGCUCCUACCUAAAUAAAUAUAUUUUCUCCAGGAUAAAUUCCA
This 1320-nucleotide long non-coding RNA is filed under the name Felis catus (domestic cat). Its description in RNAcentral is "lncRNA (ENSFCAG00000041715.2)". Lineage: Eukaryota; Metazoa; Chordata; Mammalia; Carnivora; Felidae. The record is from RNAcentral.